GGCCUGAGGUUGGAUGCCUCUAC
This 23-nucleotide non-coding RNA is filed under the name Arabidopsis thaliana (thale cress). Lineage: Eukaryota; Viridiplantae; Streptophyta; Magnoliopsida; Brassicales; Brassicaceae. The record is from RNAcentral.